This 254-nucleotide ribosomal RNA is filed under the name uncultured bacterium. RNAcentral describes it as "partial 16S ribosomal RNA". It matches the Rfam family "Bacterial small subunit ribosomal RNA", at positions 524 to 776 of the family's 1533-position model. The record is from RNAcentral.
UACGUAGGGACCAAGCGUUGUUCGGAUUUACUGGGCGUAAAGGGCGCGUAGGCGGCGUGUUAAGUCAGCUGUGAAAUCUCCGAGCUUAACUCGGAACGGUCAGCUGAUACUGAUGUGCUAGAGUGCAGAAGGGGCAAUCGGAAUUCUUGGUGUAGCGGUGAAAUGCGUAGAUAUCAAGAGGAACACCUGAGGUGAAGACGGGUUGCUGGGCCGACACUGACACUGAGAGACGAAAGCUAGGGGGAGCGAAUGGG